CACGUAGGCGGUCUUUUAAGUCAGAUGUGAAAGCCCGGGGCUCAACCCCGGAAGUGCAUUUGAUACUAGGAGACUUGAGUAUGGGAGAGGGAAGUGGAAUUCCUGGUGUAGCGGUGAAAUGCGUAGAUAUCAGGAGGAACACCGGUGGCGAAGGCGACUUCCUGGACCAAUACUGACGCUGAGGUGCGAAGGCGUGGGGAGCAAACA
Molecule: ribosomal RNA, 207 nt
Filed under: uncultured bacterium
Lineage: Bacteria
Description: partial 16S ribosomal RNA
Rfam family: Bacterial small subunit ribosomal RNA
Source: RNAcentral